Molecule: ribosomal RNA, 393 nt
Filed under: uncultured delta proteobacterium
Lineage: Bacteria; Deltaproteobacteria
Description: bacterial SSU rRNA
Rfam family: Bacterial small subunit ribosomal RNA
Source: RNAcentral
AAAGGUUGGCUAAUACUGGAUAGAGCGCGGGAGUCGUAGAGGCUUUCGCGGGAAAUGAGGGCGUAGCAAUACGCUCUUGCACUGAGAUGAGCCUGCGUCCCAUCAGCUAGUUGGCGGGGUAACGGCCCACCAAGGCAUUGACGGGUAGCUGGUCUGAGAGGACGAUCAGCCACACUGGAACUGAAACACGGUCCAGACUCCUACGGGAGGCAGCAGUGGGGAAUCUUGCGCAAUGGACGAAAGUCUGACGCAGCGACGCCGCGUGAGUGAAGAAGGCCUUCGGGUUGUAAAGCUCUGUCGAGUGGGAAAAAGUCCCUCGUAAAUAACAAGUGCGAGGGGUGAUGGUACCACUAAAGGAAGCACCGGCUAACUCCGUGCCAGCAGCCGCGGUAA